CCCAGGGUCUCCGUCCUCAGGUAGUACUAAUUAUGUAUGAAAAUGACUUCUGAGUCCAUCUAUCAUUGCUCCUGAUUGCAUUCAGUUACUGACCAUCUUGUUUCUCAUCGCCUAGGUGAACUCUGCACUGUGGUGUUCCUCCAUCUCAAUGUGGAGGUGAUGGACGUUUCUGCUCUGCUGUUGGAUCAUGCGUUUGGUUUGCUUUGUGUGCCUGCUUGGAUUGGUAUUAGACUUAUUAGGUAUGAGCUUAUGGUGCCUCUCACCUUUUAUUAUAUUCUGGAUUUCAAAUAAGAGACGGACAGGUUUGUCCCUGCUUAAACAGACCUGGACGGUGCGUGUGCGUGUCGUUUGAGAUUGGAGCGGCUUUUUACUGUGGAUGCCUGUGUGCAUCCACCAAACUGUAUUAUUGUGUGUGGCUUUGAUGAAUGCUUGCUAUGCGUGUGUGUCUGUGUGGUUACAGCUGCCUAUGUUGCUUCUGAGUGUGUGACUUGUUUGAGAGUGUUUCCCAUGUAUCUGAACUGAACCAAGAAACAGCUCGGCUGGUUGUGUGUGUGCUUGUGCAUGCAUUGACCUGCUAGCUGCCCGUGUGUUUUGUUUG
This 598-nucleotide long non-coding RNA is filed under the name Triticum aestivum (bread wheat). RNAcentral's name for it is "long non-coding RNA (TAES_LNC024980)". Lineage: Eukaryota; Viridiplantae; Streptophyta; Magnoliopsida; Poales; Poaceae. The record is from RNAcentral.